CCUACGGGAGGCAGCAGUGGGGGAUAUUGCACAAUGGGGGAAACCCUGAUGCAGCGACGCCGCGUGUGGGAAGACGGUCCUCUGGAUUGCAAACCACUGUCAUGUGGGAGCAAAUUAAAAAGAUAGUACCACAAGAGGAAGAGACGGCUAACUCUGUGCCAGCAGCCGCGGUAAUACAGAGGUCUCAAGCGUUGUUCGGAAUCACUGGGCGUAAAGCGUGCGUAGGCUGUUUCGUAAGUCGUGUGUGAAAGGCGCGGGCUCAACCCGCGGACGGCACAUGAUACUGCGAGACUAGAGUAAUGGAGGGGGAACCGGAAUUCUCGGUGUAGCAGUGAAAUGCGUAGAUAUCGAGAGGAACACUCGUGGCGAAGGCGGGUUCCUGGACAUUAACUGAUGCUGAGGCACGAAGGCCAGGGGAGCGAAAGGGAUUAGAUACCCUUGUAGUC
This 446-nucleotide ribosomal RNA is filed under the name uncultured bacterium. RNAcentral's name for it is "partial 16S ribosomal RNA". It matches the Rfam family "Bacterial small subunit ribosomal RNA", at positions 338 to 795 of the family's 1533-position model. The record is from RNAcentral.